Molecule: ribosomal RNA, 1053 nt
Filed under: uncultured bacterium
Lineage: Bacteria
Description: bacterial SSU rRNA
Rfam family: Bacterial small subunit ribosomal RNA
Source: RNAcentral
UACGGAGGCAGCAGUGAGGAAUAUGGUCAAUGGAGGCAACUCUGAACCAGCCAAGUCGCGUGAAGGAUGAAGGUCUAUGGAUUGUAAACUUCUUUGCAAGGGAAUAAAGUGGGGGACGUGUCCUCCUUUGCAUGUACCUUGCGAAUAAGGAUCGGCUAACUCCGUGCCAGCAGCCGCGGUAAUACGGAGGAUCCGAGCGUUAUCCGGAUUUAUUGGGUUUAAAGGGUGCGCAGGCGGGAUGUUAAGUCGGCGGUGAAAUUUUGCAGCUCAACUGUAAAAGUGCCUUCGAUACUGGCUUUCUUGAGUGUGGAUGAAGUAGGCGGAAUUUGUGGUGUAGCGGUGAAAUGCUUAGAUAUCACGAGGAACUCCGAUUGCGCAGGCAGCUUACUAAACCACUACUGACGCUCAUGCACGAAGGCGUGGGGAUCAAACAGGAUUAGAUACCCUGGUAGUCCACGCAGUAAACGAUGAUUACUAGUUGUUUGCGAUACAAUGUAAGCGACUGAGCGAAAGCGUUAAGUAAUCCACCUGGGGAGUACGUUCGCAAGAAUGAAACUCAAAGGAAUUGACGGGGGCCCGCACAAGCGGAGGAACAUGUGGUUUAAUUCGAUGAUACGCGAGGAACCUUACCCGGGCUUGAAAUGCGGCGGACCGGCAGAGAGAUCUGCCUUCCCUUCGGGGCCGCCGUGUAGGUGCUGCAUGGUUGUCGUCAGCUCGUGCCGUGAGGUGUCGGCUUAAGUGCCAUAACGAGCGCAACCCUCAUCAUUAGUUACUAACAGGUCAUGCUGAGGACUCUAGUGAGACUGCCAUCGUAAGAUGCGAGGAAGGUGGGGAUGACGCCAAAUCAGCACGGCCCUUACGUCCGGGGCGACACACGUGUUACAAUGGGUGGUACAAAGGGCAGCUACCUGGCGACAGGAUGCUAAUCUCCAAAACCACUCUCAGUUCGGAUCGGAGUCUGCAACUCGACUCCGUGAAGCUGGAUUCGCUAGUAAUCGCGCAUCAGCCAUGGCGCGGUGAAUACGUUCCCGGGCCUUGCACACACCGCCCGUA